CUACGGGGUGCUGCAGUGAGGAAUAUUGCACAAUGGGGGGAACCCUGAUGCAGCAACGCCGCGUGGAGGAUGACGCAUUUCGGUGUGUAAACUCCUUUUAUAUGUCAAGAAAAUGACGGUAGCAUAUGAAUAAGCACCGGCUAACUCCGUGCCAGCAGCCGCGGUAAUACGGAGGGUGCAAGCGUUACUCGGAAUCACUGGGCGUAAAGGACGCGUAGGCGGGUUGGAAAGUCAGGUGUGAAACCCUACAGCUUAACUGUAGAACUGCACCUGAAACUUCUAAUCUAGAGUAUGGGAGGGGGAGAUGGAAUUAGUGGUGUAGGGGUAAAAUCCGUAGAUAUCACUAGGAAUACCUAAAGCGAAGGCGAUCUCCUGGAACAUUACUGACGCUAAGGCGUGAAAGCGUGGGGAGCAAACAGGAUUAGAUACCCGAGUAGUC
Molecule: ribosomal RNA, 439 nt
Filed under: uncultured bacterium
Lineage: Bacteria
Description: partial 16S ribosomal RNA
Rfam family: Bacterial small subunit ribosomal RNA
Source: RNAcentral